CCGCCACCUCUCCUACUCCAUGCACCGUGGGGAACUUGAUUUUGAAAUGAGGGAUGGAGGUCACAGCUUGGAGAGCAGUCAAGGUAGGUCUCCCCAGUAUAGCGUUAUAAGCCGAGUCCACAUGCACAACAUAAAAUUUACACAUUAUUUCUACCUGCUGGGGUGCUCUGCCGAAGAUAACCGGGAGUUCAAUAGUGUCUUCAACUUUGACCGGAUCGUUGCUGAAGCCGUAUAAAGGAGCCUCCUGCCCGACCUCCAUUUUCUGCUCAUCAAGAUGCAUCCUCUGAUAGGCAUGGGCAUAUAAAAUAUCCACCGAAGACCCAUUGUCUAUCAUCAUGCGUUUCACGUCCACCGAGCCCACUUGCGCUGUGAUCACCAAGGCUCCCUCGUGUGGCUCGAUGGGCUCCGAAGGAUAAUCUACGUCCGUAAAUGAUAU
This 436-nucleotide long non-coding RNA is filed under the name Panax ginseng (ginseng). Its description in RNAcentral is "long non-coding RNA (PGIN_LNC004617)". Lineage: Eukaryota; Viridiplantae; Streptophyta; Magnoliopsida; Apiales; Araliaceae. The record is from RNAcentral.